UACGGAGGUUGCAAGCGUUGUUCGGAAUUACUGGGCGUAAAGGGAGCGCAGGCGGUUCGAUAAGUCUGAAGUGAAAGCCCGGGGCUCAACCCCGGCGGGUCUUUGGAUACUGUCGAACUCGAGUACGGAAGAGGAGAGUGGAAUUCCAGGUGUAGCGGUGAAAUGCGUAGAUAUCUGGAGGAACACCGGUGGCGAAAGCGGCUCUCUGGUCCGAUACUGACGCUCAUGCUCGAAAGCGUGGGGAGCAAACGGG
This 253-nucleotide ribosomal RNA is filed under the name uncultured bacterium. RNAcentral describes it as "partial 16S ribosomal RNA". It matches the Rfam family "Bacterial small subunit ribosomal RNA", at positions 524 to 776 of the family's 1533-position model. The record is from RNAcentral.